This 1438-nucleotide long non-coding RNA is filed under the name Homo sapiens (human). RNAcentral's name for it is "HSALNT0062288". Lineage: Eukaryota; Metazoa; Chordata; Mammalia; Primates; Hominidae. The record is from RNAcentral.
AGGAAGCUAGCUCUUCAGAUUUCUUCAGAGGGUUCUGUUCAGUUGAACAAAGCAGCAACAACAUAAAUGUUUCUCUAAACCUUCAGGCUGAUUCACUUUGACAGAUACGCCUUUCAGAUGAUUACCAAACCAUUUGAAACUAAUUUCCUUCUCUCCCAGAAAAUUCCCCAAGUGACUGAGAGCUUAUAUUUUCCUGGAACUGAAGACGUGAAUAAGGAUUGAUGUAAUUUUCAUCUGUAAUAUUUCCAGAGAGGAAUUGGGCACAUCUUGACAUUUAGGGAACAGUAGUUAGUAGUAAAUGUUUCUCCAGAGUUUUUAGACUCCAUCGUCACUAUUUAUUAUAGAUUGGAAAUUCAUUUUGGUGGUCUGCUGGUCCAAGACAGUGAAUCACAACCCAAAUAUCAGCCCCUCCCCAUCAAAAGAAGAGAUUAUUCUGUUUCUGGUGUCUAAGGAUUAUUAAAUAUUUGAGAUGAAUUUAUAUUAAUAUGUUACCUUAAAUACAAACAAUCAACAAAAGAUUAAGCUGUCUGUUUUGUGAUCUUAUUUAUUUCUUCAAGAAACAAUGAAAACUUCUCAUUUGGUUUUGGAACUUACUAUUUGGAACUUUAUGAUACAGGAUAUUGUAUGUUAGCCUGAGUCCACCUCCCCCCUUGAAAAAGGAUAGUCAAAUAAUAAACUUUGCCAACUCUGAGGCUCUGUGUAUUCCUGUUCCUGCUCUGAGUGUCCAGGAAGAACAGCAGACUCCUAAGAACAUUAAUGAAAACAACAACAACAACAACAGCAACACGUGAAGGUUACAUUCACAGAGAGAUCUGCCAUAACCAGCACAGCAGCUGGUUGAAAGCUACAGAAGAGACUGAACUGAUUCAAUGCAUGUCAAGAGUUUUUUGUUUGUUUGUUUGUUUUAUUUUAAGUUCUGGGAUACAUGUGCAGAUGUGCAGGAUGUGCAGGUUUGUUACAUCGGUAAACAUGUGCCAUGGUUUGAUAGGUGGUUUGCUGCACCUAUCAACCCAUCACCUAGGUAUUAAGCCCAGUGUGCAUUAGCUAUUUUUCUUGAUGUUCUCCCAACCCUCACCCCCUGACUGGCCCCAGUCUGUGUUGUUCCCCUCCCUGUGUCCAUGUGUUCUUAUUGUUCAGCUCCCACUUAUAAGUGAGAACGCAGUAUUUAGUUUUAUGUUCCUGCAACCCAAAGGAAUAUAUAUCCUUCUAUUAUAAAGAUACAUGAACCUGUAUGUUCAUUGCAGCACUAUUCACAAUAGCAAAGAGUUUUUAACUAUGAGUUCCUUUAAACUUCUUUAUCAAAUAAUUAGCAUUGGAAAAUAUCAUCAUCUAGAAGUUUCUGCGGAUGUCUACUCACAGUAGACUGUGUCUUCGUAAAUGGAUGGGCCACCUCAAAGAUUUUGGUAAGAGUGGGCAUAAAUGGGCAUGUAAGUGAUCA